UCCCUGCUAGUCCAGUGGCUAAGACUCUGCUCUCCCAAUGCAGAGGGCCCAGGUUUAAUUCCUGGUCAGGGAG
Non-coding RNA from Capra hircus (goat), 73 nucleotides. The record is from the annotation of a RefSeq genome assembly. Lineage: Eukaryota; Metazoa; Chordata; Mammalia; Artiodactyla; Bovidae.